CCCAAUAAACACUAGGUGAUGUCAUGUAGUACACACUGUUCAGCUCUGUUUUGGUGAAGGAGGAACAGGAAAUUGAAGAGUGACUUCAUGGACAGAGUCCCAUCAUGAAAUUAGCCAAUUGACUGUCUGAAACGUUAGAGAAGUUGCUUACUUGCAAAGAUACUUGGCUGACAGCCUCGCCCGUGUUGUUGGCUUCCAUCUCGUGACAUGUUUAUGGAUAUCUCACAAGGUUUUGCUAUCAGUGACAGACUGUGGUUUCCAGCGGAGACUGGCACCGCUUUUGAGGAACUGCUGGAGGCUCUAACAGAUACCUGUAAUAUCAGGUGUGAUUCUGUGCCAAGCCGCAAGAAGCAUGAAAGCCCAGGACUUCCCCUGAGCACCAGCUUCCAUCUGUACAGGACAAAAGUAAAAACUUCCCAAGGCUUGAGAACUUCCUGCUGAUUCACAUUUCAAACAGAGGCUGUACUUAACCCUCACCCUCACACCGGCACCCAGAGUGGACAGGAAGAGCUCCGGAGCCUUGGGGACAUUACAGCACGGAACUGCCCAGUGACCUGGUAAGUACUGCUGGACUAUGACGGGUUUGGAGUCUCAGGGUUAUG
This 602-nucleotide long non-coding RNA is filed under the name Cricetulus griseus (Chinese hamster). RNAcentral describes it as "lncRNA (ENSCGRG00000024947.1)". The record is from RNAcentral. Lineage: Eukaryota; Metazoa; Chordata; Mammalia; Rodentia; Cricetidae.